GUCAUACUACGGUGCAUCUAGGGUUAAAGUAAACGAUGAUACUUACUGAACUCUACGUUAAAAUACCCGUCAAAAUGCAAAACCGAUCUUAACUUGGGUUUUUUAGCCCGAGUUAGUUUUUUU
RNAcentral lists this small RNA (123 nucleotides) under Hafnia paralvei. RNAcentral's name for it is "Enterobacteria greA leader". It matches the Rfam family "Enterobacteria greA leader". The record is from RNAcentral. Lineage: Bacteria; Pseudomonadati; Pseudomonadota; Gammaproteobacteria; Enterobacterales; Hafniaceae.